Molecule: unclassified non-coding RNA, 400 nt
Filed under: soil metagenome
Description: partial contains 5.8S ribosomal RNA, internal transcribed spacer 2, and large subunit ribosomal RNA
Rfam family: 5.8S ribosomal RNA (bases 1-122)
Source: RNAcentral
GAUGAAGAACGUAGCGAAAUGCGAUACUUGGUGUGAAUUGCAGAAUCCCGUGAACCAUCGAGUCUUUGAACGCAAGUUGCGCCUCAAGCCAUUAGGUUGAGGGCACGUCUGCCUGGGCGUCACAUAUCGUUGCCUGAUGCCAGUUUCCUCGUGAUGGGUGACUGUGCAGGGCGAAUGAUGGCUUCCCGUGAGCAUUGUUGCCUCAUGGUUGGUUGAAAAUUGAGUCCUUGGUAGGGAGCGCCGUGAUAGAUGGUGGUUGAGUGACGAACGAGACCCAAACAUGUGAGACCCCUACCGAAUUUGGCCUUCAUGACCCACAUGCGUCUUUGGAACGCUCAUGACGAGACCUCAGGUCAGGCGGGGCUACCCGCUGAGUUUAAGCAUAUUAAUAAGCGGAGGA